This 405-nucleotide ribosomal RNA is filed under the name uncultured bacterium. Its description in RNAcentral is "bacterial SSU rRNA". It matches the Rfam family "Bacterial small subunit ribosomal RNA", at positions 355 to 774 of the family's 1533-position model. The record is from RNAcentral.
UGGGGAAUAUUGGGCAAUGGGGGAAACCCUGACCCAGCAACGCCGCGUGAAGGAAGAAGGCCUUCGGGUUGUAAACUUCUUUUACCAGGGACGAAGAAAGUGACGGUACCUGGAGAAAAAGCUCCGGCUAACUACGUGCCAGCAGCCGCGGUAAUACGUAGGGAGCGAGCGUUGUCCGGAUUUACUGGGUGUAAAGGGCGUGUAGGCGGAGCUGCAAGUCAGAAGUGAAAUCCCCGGGCUCAACCCGGGAACUGCUUUUGAAACUGUAGCCCUUGAGUAUCGGAGAGGCAGGCGGAAUUCCUAGUGUAGCGGUGAAAUGCGUAGAUAUUAGGAGGAACACCAGUGGCGAAGGCGGCCUGCUGGACGACAACUGACGCUGAGGCGCGAAAGCGUGGGGAGCAAACA